Molecule: long non-coding RNA, 409 nt
Filed under: Gossypium barbadense (sea-island cotton)
Lineage: Eukaryota; Viridiplantae; Streptophyta; Magnoliopsida; Malvales; Malvaceae
Description: long non-coding RNA (GBAR_LNC000046)
Source: RNAcentral
UACCCAUAUUCCGAUCAUUCUAAUUUUCCUACGACUCUCCACUCUUUCAAUGAACCGUCACAAAACACCGCAACCUCAUCUUCACAUCAACAAUAACAAAUAUAAAUACGUUAGACCGUUAGUAGCAAAGUGUAAAUAUAAAAAUAAAAAAGAGGAGCAGUGGGUGGCCUGGCCUGCAUGCGAAGGCUGGAAGAGGGGCAUCAAUGAAUGAAACAACGUGCUUUUCUGUGUCUAUAGAUUCCAUAAUCCUCCAAUCUGUCUCUCUCUACCUGCAACAUUUGUCUCUCUCUCUCUUAACAUUUUAUUUAUUUAUUUAUUUGUUUGUUUGUUUUUCAAUUCUACUUUUUAACAGCUUCAAGAUGCCUUUUGCUUAAAGUUAAUCAUAUUUUUUUAUUCAGUUUCAUCCCUG